This 107-nucleotide small nuclear RNA is filed under the name Macaca mulatta (Rhesus monkey). The record is from RNAcentral. Lineage: Eukaryota; Metazoa; Chordata; Mammalia; Primates; Cercopithecidae.
GUGCUUGCUUCUGCAGCACAUAUACUAAAAUUGGAAGGAUACAGAAAAGAUUAGCAUGGCCCCUGUGCAAGGAUGACAUGCAAAUUAGUGAAGCCUUCUAUAAUUUU